AGAGUUUGAUUCUGGCUCAGAACGAACGCUGGCAGCGUGGAUUAGGCAUGCAAGUCGAACGGGAAUUCGUGGUUUCAAGUUUUCGGACGAGAAACUGCGGAGGACAGUGGCGGAAGGGUGAGGAACACGUGGGUAAUCUACCUUGAAGUUGGGGAUAACCCCGCGAAAGCGGGGCUAAUACCGAAUGUGUUCGUGCCGCGCCUGCGGCACUGAAUAAAGGUGGGGAUUCUGCCUUCGGGUGGAACCUGUCGCUUUUAGAUGAGCCCGCGUCCCAUCAGCUUGUUGGCGGGGUAACGGCCCAUCAAGGCUUACGGGUAGCUGGUCUGAGAGGAUGGUCAGCCACACUGGGACUGAGACACUGCCCAGACUCCUACGGGAGGCUGCAGUCGAGGAUCAUUGUCAAUGCGCGAAAGCGUGAACAUGCGACGCUGCGUGGAGGAUGACGGCCUUCGGGUUGUAAACUCCUGUCAUGGGGGAACAACUGUUCGGGUGUUAACACCGCCCGGACUUGAUGGUACCUCAAGAGGAAGCCACGGCUAACUCUGUGCCAGCAGCCGCGGUAAUACAGAGGUGGCGAGCGUUGUUCGGAUUUACUGGGCGUAAAGCGUGCGUAGGUGGUCUCGUAUGUCGGAUGUGAAAGCCCACGGCUUAACCAUGGAAAUGCAUUCGAAACUGCGGGGCUUGAGUACAGGAGGGGAGAGCGGAAUUCUUGGUGUAGCGGUGAAAUGCGUUGAUAUCAAGAAGAACACCUUGGCGAAGGCGGCUCUCUGGAAUGUUACUGACACUGAGGCACGAAAGCUGGGGGAGCAAACAGGAUUAGAUACCCUGGUAGUCCCAGCCGUAAACUGUGUGCACUUGGUGUGGGGAGUAUUGACCCUCUCCGUGCCGGAGCUAACGCGUUAAGUGCACCGCCUGGGGAGUACGGCCGCAAGGCUAAAACUCAAAGAAAUUGACGGGGGCCCGCACAAGCGGAGGAGCAUGUGGCUUAAUUCGAUGCAACGCGAAGAACCUUACCAGGGCUUGACAUGCAGCUGCAAGCCCGGCGAAAGUCGGGCCGCCUUCGAGGGUGCUGCACAGGUGCUGCAUGGCUGUCGUCAGUUCGUGCCGUGAGGUGUUGGGUUAAGUCCCGCAACGAACGCAACCCUUGUGUCUAGUUGCCACCGCAGGUGAUGAGCCUGCGAGCACUCUAGACAGACUGCCCGUACAAGCGGGAGGAAGGUGGGGACGACGUCAAGUCAGUAUGGCCCUUACGUCCUGGGCUGCACACGUGCUACAAUGGUCGGUACAGAGGGACGCAAGACCGCGAGGUGGAGCAAAUCCCAAAAGCCGGCCCCAGUUCGGAUUGGAGUCUGCAAUUCGACUCCAUGAAGUUGGAUUCGCUAGUAACGGCGCAUCAGCUACGGCGCCGUGAAUGCGUUCCCGGGCCUUGUACACACCGCCCGUCACAUCAUGAAAGCCGUCUGCACCCGAAGUCGCUGAGCCAAUCCCGCUUCGGUGGGAAAGCAGGUGCCGAAGGUGUUGGUGGUGAUUGGGAUGAAGUCGGAACAAGGUA
This 1552-nucleotide ribosomal RNA is filed under the name metagenome. RNAcentral describes it as "bacterial SSU rRNA". It matches the Rfam family "Bacterial small subunit ribosomal RNA". The record is from RNAcentral.